RNAcentral lists this transfer RNA (71 nucleotides) under Drupa morum. Its description in RNAcentral is "tRNA-Gly". Lineage: Eukaryota; Metazoa; Mollusca; Gastropoda; Neogastropoda; Muricidae. The record is from RNAcentral.
UAUCUCUUGAGUAUGAUCUAGUACGUCUGCCUUCCAAGUAGAAAGAUUAAAUUCGAUUUAAAAGAGAUAUC